This 1242-nucleotide ribosomal RNA is filed under the name metagenome. Its description in RNAcentral is "bacterial LSU rRNA". It matches the Rfam family "Bacterial large subunit ribosomal RNA", at positions 1564 to 2815 of the family's 2925-position model. The record is from RNAcentral.
UGAAUACCAGACGCUACGGCGUUGAAGCAGUGUAUGUCAGACUUCCAAAAAAGCUCGCAAUGUCCGAAAUAAAAUAAUGCCUGUACCAUAACCGACACAGGUGGGUAGGUAGAGUAUACUAAGGGGCGCGAGAUAACUCUCUCUAAGGAACUCGGCAAAAUAACUCCGUAACUUCGGGAGAAGGAGUGCCUUAUUUUAAGGUUGCAAUAACAAGAUCCAAGCAACUGUUUACCAAAAACACAGGUCUCCGCUAAGUCGUAAGACGAUGUAUGGGGGCUGACGCCUGCCCAGUGCCAGAAGGUUAAAGAAGUUGGUUAGCUAUUGCGAAGCUGAUGACUGAAGCCCUGGUGAACGGCGGCCGUAACUAUAACGGUCCUAAGGUAGCGAAAUUCCUUGUCGGGUAAGUUCCGACCCGCACGAAAGGCGUAAUGAUUUGGAUACUGUCUCGGAGAGGGGCUCGGUGAAAUAGACUUGUCUGUGAAGAUGCGGACUACCUGCACCUGGACAGAAAGACCCUAUGAAGCUUUACUGUAACUUGAAAUUGAAAUUGGACUUUAUUUGCGCAGUAUAGGUGGGAGGCGUUUGAAGAUAUUCUUGCGGGAAUGUUGGAGCCAUUAGUGAGAUACCACUCUUGUAAUGUUAGAUUUCUAACUUUGUACCAUAAUCUGGUCAAAGAACAGUUUCAGGCGGGCAGUUUUACUGGGGCGGUCGCCUCCCAAAUGGUAACGGAGGCGUACAAAGGUUUCCUCUGAACGUGUAGAAAUCGUAUCUAGAGUGUAAAGGCAUAAGGAAGCUUGACUGUGAGACCUACAAGUCAAGCAGGGACGAAAGUCGGUCUUAGUGAUCUGACGGUACUGAGUGGAAAGGCCGUCACUCAACGGAUAAAAGUUACUCUAAGGAUAACAGGCUGAUCUCCCCCAAGAGUUCACAUCGACGGGGAGGUUUGGCACCUCGAUGUCGGCUCAUCGCAUCCUGGGGCGGUAGUACGUCCCAAGGGUUGGGCUGUUCGCCCAUGAAAGCGGUACGCGAGCUGGGUUCAGAACGUCGUGAGACAGUUCGGUCCAUAUCCGGUGUAGGCGUUAGAAUAUUGAGAGGAGCCUUCUUUAGUACGAGAGGACCGAGAAGGACAUACCUCUGGUGUACCAGUUAUCGUGCCAACGGUAAACGCUGGGUAGCUAUGUAUGGAGAGGAUAACCGCUGAAAGCAUCUAAGUGGGAAGCCCACCUCGAGAUGAGUAUUCUC